GCCAAUUGGCAGCAGACCCUCCCUCCCAGACCCUCCCACCUCCUGGACAGCUCACUAAGAUGCAGCUUCACAAUGAAUGUAAAAUGGAUGCUGUCCAGGAGGUGGGAGGGUCUGGGAGGGAGGGUCUGCUGCUGAUUGG
Non-coding RNA from Pelobates cultripes (western spadefoot toad), 139 nucleotides. NCBI's taxonomy places the organism in Eukaryota, Metazoa, Chordata, Amphibia, Anura, Pelobatidae. The record is from the annotation of a GenBank genome assembly.